UGGGAAUCUCCAGGGCCCCGAGGAUGCUUGGCAUGCGAGCAGCCCUACAGGAGCUUUGGCCCGUGGAACGUGCCAGAAGAUGUGGUUAAAAACACAACAAACUCCUGGAUGCUGGGACCGUGGGUGGCACUGUUUGUUUCUGCGCUGACUUGGCGUGAGCUGUGGGCAACUCACUUAACUGCUCUGCAGGCCACUCGUCUCAUUAGCAUGGCCAUGGAUAGAGACAAGAGGACCAAGGGAAGGAAGAGGCAAUGAGAAGAAAAG
Mesocricetus auratus (golden hamster) is the source of this 264-nucleotide long non-coding RNA. RefSeq lists it as uncharacterized. NCBI's taxonomy places the organism in Eukaryota, Metazoa, Chordata, Mammalia, Rodentia, Cricetidae. The record is from RefSeq and is a predicted model, not a curated record. The transcript is spliced from 3 exons.